UUGUUUUGUGGUUUUAAUAAUGAAUGCCUGCCUACCAGUUCAAAAUGGGUUAUUGGUUAUUAGAUUCAUAGUUUAAUUACCACAUUCAAAUUUCCGUUUGAGGAUAUGAUCCUUAUCUGUUUGUGUUUGAUUAUUAAUAUGAAGUUAUGAACUUGUAUUGUCAAUCCAAGGGUUAUCUAUAUCUUGUGUUUUUGUUGUUGAACUUGAAGCAUACAAGAGAAGAGAAGUGAGAAAACUGUUGGAUUUGGAUUGAAAUUGAGCUUUACCAAAAAGAAGUAGAAAAUGAGAAUCCUUUUUCUAUUCUGCAGCACCAAAAUACACCCUUCAACUUACAAAGGACAACGUCUCCACCUCUUUGUGACACAGUUUUGAAAACUCCGAAACCUAGCAUUGAAUGUUUGAGUACAAGUACAACCUAGCUAGCAUUUCUUCGUUUUCUACAAGAUGAACAUCUGUUGUACGUAAUUUCAUUUUUAUGUUAAGGCUAAUGUAUAUUAGUGUGUUGCAAGAUACAACAGGAUGUCAAUUUCUCUGCCUGGAUGAUCAUCAGUUUGAAAUAAGAAAUUGACAACAUCACUUCCAUUAGAGACACAAAUGUUUCCACUAAUCUUUCUUGAAAUUCUGAUCAUUUUGGUAUAUGAAAAUGAAGCCCUUAGCUAGUUACCAAAUAAGCCAAAUCGAACAGGAACACCAUUGAGAUUCUUGAGCCAAGCAUUCCCUUUCAAGAAAGGACCUACAGUAAAAGCCAUAGCCUCAUCCUUAUUAAGGACCUUGUAGCCAGGCCAUUUCACUCUGUUAUCAGUAUUGGACCUGGGUCCGUUGUUGUUAUACUCACCAUAAAAUAGAGUCUUUUUUCCAAAGUCUCCAUCCAUUUCAGUCCAUCCAUCUUGGUCAAUCACAUCCUCUAUUGUAGACUCCAUCACUAUGGUUCUUGAGUACUCCUUCCACGGCCUCCCAAGGUAACUCUUGAAUUGGGAUUUCUCAGACUCAAAUUCUUUGUCCGGUUUCCGGAUAUAAAUUAUGCAGUUCUGGAAGGUAGCAGCAGCAUCACCGAAGAUAAAAUCAACGGUGCCGGAAACAACACAGCUUUUAUAGAAUUGCCGAUGAGCCUGUACAAAUAAUGUGUUUUGGUACCCUUCAAAUCGGCAGUUGAGGAAAAUAGCACGGUCUCCUAGGACUCUGGCUGCCACUGCCUGUUGCUUUUCACGACCAGCUGUGUUUCUGAAUCCCAUGGACUUUGCAAUGAAACCUUCUCCUAAGGCCACUGCAAUACAAUGUUGAAAAGGAAUGAGCAAGAUAAUAAUAGAAACAGCUUAACAUGGUGAUGAGGUAGGCCUUACACCCCAUGUUCUAUUGGCAUUAAGUUGAGCAUGCAUUGUGAUGAUAUUUGUUGAGCCAUACCAAAAGUUGCAGUGUUGAACAGCUUAACUCCGUCUGCAUUGUUCUUAUUCCCAGUGAUGAUGCUCUUUUGUGAUCCAUCACCAUAUAUGGCAUGGCCGACAAUGCUUCACUAAUGGAUUUGUAGUUCCCACUGCCAUCUUUUGCCACGGUGACAUUGGGUGUGGGCUUUUCAUCGUUUUUCUUCAACACCCGUCGCUCCUCAUGGGUCAGCCAGGAAGGAAAGCCAUCCUUGUCCUGUGCCAGAAGACGACGUGAUGAACCUGAUGAUCCUCCACUGCCAGGUACCUUUAAUUCGGAAAGUAGUGAAAUCAUGGCAAGGGAAUUGCUAGUGAGCUCCUUGGUGGCCUCCAAGGUCUCCGACAUUUUAGACUUCACAUCUCCAUCAGGAAACCCAUCAAUGCAUGUUUGCUGGUAUGAUAUGACCGCACUCAACCAACUGUUCAAGACACCGGUUCUCAUUUUCCCGGAAGUGGUACUGUUGCCAACUUGAUCCACGGAUUCUUCUAAUUCUUCCUUGGCAUUGUCAAAUAGUGCCUUGCAAUCCUCAAAGGCUUCCUUGUCUUCCUCUUUGUCAAAAGUGAGCUCGCUGGCUUUGGUAAAGGCACUCUUGGCCUCAUCCGAGGCUCCAGAGAUGGCGGUCUUGAUGACUUCUUUGGGUUUAGAUAUGGGGUCCUUUGUAUUUUUGAAGACUUCCUUGCACCUGUCCUUGUAAUCAGUUGACCCGCACAUCUGCUGUACAAUCUUGCUAGAAGUUGAUGUCUCAUUCUUGGUUGGAUCUUGGGUGGGUGGAUCUUCCGUGGGCUUUGGUGGUGCUGGAGCAGGUUUGCUAGCUUUUUUGGUUGCCUUGUCCGUCUUCAUUUUGUUCACAAUCACUAUGGCUGCAACGAUAAUUCCAACGAGGAGGAUGACUGCAACAACUGCGAUGAUAAUCCUCCUCUUGAGCUUACGGGCAUUCUCGGUCUUUCGGCGCUCAGUUAUCUGGUCAAAAUCCUGGAAUGCCAUUGCUGAGAGUGGCUAAGGCAGAGAAACCUCUGCCUUAACAAUUCAGGCCAGCCACACACAACACAGUGGGAAUAAAUACGAUGCGGAAAGAGAUGCAAAGAGGAAGAUGCUACAGCUUUAACCAAAAUUUCCUCUCCCUGUCUCUCUGUUCUUCUGUUUGAAAUUUGAGUCUCAUUAUUAUUUUGGCAAUUGACAUAGGAGGUCUGGUCAGGAGAGUUUUUAGGUGUUCUAUUUUUCACUAAAGUUAAUUGAAGAGGGCAGCUAGCGUCCUUUCCUUUCCAACCGCAACUCCCGCGAUUUCUUUCCUCCACAAUUCAUCUUCCCAAAAUUACUUUUCUACCGCACUCAAAACUAUAUAUGAACAUAGUUUACUUCUGUCAUUUUAAUUCUAGGCUCUGUUCUCCGUGAGGUUCUUAUUA
Molecule: long non-coding RNA, 2822 nt
Filed under: Rosa chinensis
Lineage: Eukaryota; Viridiplantae; Streptophyta; Magnoliopsida; Rosales; Rosaceae
Description: sRNA RchiOBHm_Chr2g0096431
Source: RNAcentral